Molecule: ribosomal RNA, 567 nt
Filed under: uncultured bacterium
Lineage: Bacteria
Description: bacterial SSU rRNA
Rfam family: Bacterial small subunit ribosomal RNA
Source: RNAcentral
CCUACGGGAGGCAGCAGUGGGGAAUAUUGCACAAUGGGCGAAAGCCUGAUGCAGCGACGCCGCGUGAGGGAUGACGGCCUUCGGGUUGUAAACCUCUUUCAGUAGGGAAGAAGCGAAAGUGACGGUACCUGCAGAAGAAGCGCCGGCUAACUACGUGCCAGCAGCCGCGGUAAUACGUAGGGCGCAAGCGUUAUCCGGAAUUAUUGGGCGUAAAGAGCUCGUAGGCGGUUUGUCGCGUCUGCCGUGAAAGUCCGGGGCUCAACUCCGGAUCUGCGGUGGGUACGGGCAGACUAGAGUGAUGUAGGGGAGACUGGAAUUCCUGGUGUAGCGGUGAAAUGCGCAGAUAUCAGGAGGAACACCGAUGGCGAAGGCAGGUCUCUGGGCAUUAACUGACGCUGAGGAGCGAAAGCAUGGGGAGCGAACAGGAUUAGAUACCCUGGCAGUCCAUGCCGUAAACGUUGGGCACUAGGUGUGGGGGACAUUCCACGUUUUCCGCGCCGUAGCUAACGCAUUAAGUGCCCCGCCUGGGGAGUACGGCCGCAAGGCUAAAACUCAAAGGAUUGACGG